AUUAUUCCGAGGUUUUGAAAACACCAAAACCUCAGAAACAGGAAAACGCCAGAAGCAAUUCUGCAAAUUCCUCUGAAAAUAACUCUGAAAAAUCCAAUGCCAAUGGGAAUAAACGCCCCUGGGUUAAUAAGAACCAAGGCAAUUCCAAUGCAGAAGGAAUCCUCAGGGAAAUAGGAGAUAUGGGAACAGAAACAAACAAUCUGCUUCCAAUAACUCCCAACAGUCUCAGCCAUCCCAACCAAAUUCUAAUGGGCAAAGACAAAACGGC
This is a non-coding RNA of Pelobates cultripes (western spadefoot toad), 268 nucleotides long. Lineage: Eukaryota; Metazoa; Chordata; Amphibia; Anura; Pelobatidae. The record is from the annotation of a GenBank genome assembly.